AACUAUGUCCUUAAUCCGAGGAGAGAUGUCUACUAUAAAUGAGAGGUUGGAUCGAAUGGAGAGUCGAAGGAACUCUAGUGUUUCUACCCCUCGACUCCAUGUUUCCUCAAGUGGUCAUGACCAAAACCCUUCCAUCACCAUUGCCCCCGAGACUUUACCUACAAACAUCAACCUCCAAGUUCACCACAAAAUUCCAUGAUCCAAGUUACUAAUUACCCUCAAAAUCGAGAACAAGGUAAAUCACUUGUCCCGAAAGUUGAUCAAGUUCUACAAAAAAGACUUUGAGGCACAUUACCUCCCAUCCAAGAUCCACAACCG
RNAcentral lists this long non-coding RNA (318 nucleotides) under Capsicum annuum. RNAcentral's name for it is "long non-coding RNA (CANN_LNC003404)". The record is from RNAcentral. Lineage: Eukaryota; Viridiplantae; Streptophyta; Magnoliopsida; Solanales; Solanaceae.